AACUCUAAAUGCUGAUGUAUGGCAGCUCUGCAGAACUCUAGAUAUACAGACGUAUAAAAUGCCUGAGCAUCCAAGUGUUCCCUGUG
Molecule: non-coding RNA, 86 nt
Organism: Sturnus vulgaris (Common starling)
Lineage: Eukaryota; Metazoa; Chordata; Aves; Passeriformes; Sturnidae
Source: RefSeq, a predicted model, not a curated record